RNAcentral lists this microRNA precursor (112 nucleotides) under Mus caroli (Ryukyu mouse). RNAcentral's name for it is "microRNA 6387 (MGP_CAROLIEiJ_G0007198.1)". The record is from RNAcentral. Lineage: Eukaryota; Metazoa; Chordata; Mammalia; Rodentia; Muridae.
AGAAUGACACUCCAGGUGGAAUGGCUUCCCUUGUGUAUCCGGUGGCCUCGGUGAGUGAGUCAGAGGUGUGCCCACAAUGCCGGAGGCUCCAUUGCAGUGGGUGUGUUACUCA